Molecule: long non-coding RNA, 237 nt
Filed under: Rattus norvegicus (Norway rat)
Lineage: Eukaryota; Metazoa; Chordata; Mammalia; Rodentia; Muridae
Description: long non-coding RNA NONRATT021569
Source: RNAcentral
GUCCGGUCUGACUUGAAGACACCCUGCCCUAGGUACCAGCUGGAGAUGUUCUGUCACUUCCAGGACGUUGAAGACCUGAAUCCAGCAUACUCACCGUUUGUAUUUGGAGGAACACGUGGCUGGAACGGAUUCUGGAAUCAUCCUUUGAUACCUAAAAUGGGUGUGCAAGUUGACAGUGGACAAGAAGGCGUCUGGGAUUGAUGGAUCAGAUGAUGGGUCUGUGAAGACAAUGAAGCC